AUUCUAAUUCCCUGGAGGGGUGAUAGGCAAAGAAAACUGGAGCCUGAGCUGUAUCCAAGGGUUGAGUCAACAACAUUUAUCAAGGAGGAAAAAGGCAGUAAUACUUCUCAAAGAAAGAUUUUUCCUGAGGCCAAGGGACAACAUAAAUGGAAAUCCACUAAGUAUAGGUUUUGCAGGUUGGAUUAUUUUGUCUCCAUUCCCUAUGCAUUCCAAUUGUAGAAUGUUGACACUUGUUUGAAUGCACAAGUCAACUGGCACAUAACCCAUUUGUAGGCUCAUCCCCAAACACAAGGACCUAACUGGGAGUUAAAGCAUAGUGAUAAAAGGAUAACAGCAAUCUAUCAAGAAGCAUUUUCUCUGGGUCAGGCGCUGUACUAAAUGUCAUGGAUGAAAAAGCAAAAAGAGUUCCUACCUUCAAGGAGUUUGCUUACAGUCUAAUGCAAAGACACCAAGAAUCAAAAGGAAAUGGGACAGCUAGGACCAUACAAAAAGUCUUGGAAUUGGAAGCAGAAGAGCUAAAUUCAAAGAUAAGUCCUUCUACAAUCUAAAUACUAUAAUUUUUUGAAGAAUAUAAUAAAAAAGCCUUGGAAUCAUAAAGUAUAAAAGUC
This 608-nucleotide long non-coding RNA is filed under the name Monodelphis domestica (gray short-tailed opossum). RNAcentral describes it as "lncRNA (ENSMODG00000030112.2)". Lineage: Eukaryota; Metazoa; Chordata; Mammalia; Didelphimorphia; Didelphidae. The record is from RNAcentral.